This is a long non-coding RNA of Dreissena polymorpha, 719 nucleotides long. RefSeq lists it as uncharacterized. The record is from RefSeq and is a predicted model, not a curated record. NCBI's taxonomy places the organism in Eukaryota, Metazoa, Mollusca, Bivalvia, Myida, Dreissenidae. The transcript is spliced from 2 exons.
UGCUCUCGACAAAUACCGGGCCCCACUCUAAUCUAUAAAUUGUUUUUAAGUAAACAGCCGAGGUCUGUAACACGUCUCAGUAACGGUUCAUCGGUUGUUAUGGCUUGUUUGAUUUAAGCGGCGAUCCCAAGAUACGGUAGUUGAAAAAUGACAGGACUGGAUGACAGGGGUCGCUCCCGGACGAUCCAUCAGGGAAAACGGACGGUGAAUAAUCAUCCAAGGAAUCGGAGGCGAUUUCACGAUGACAGUCAUUCUCUUGUUCGGUGUAACUUUAAAAUAAAUUACCGCUCUUAGAAUGAACGUUAACGCUGGGUCUUAAAACGUUUGCUUAAAGGAUAAAUUGCGCGUGGAUAAUUCGUUUAACACUUGUUUGCGUUUUAUUGGAUUGAAGAGCCCGAUUGUGAGGAAAUGUUUAAAAAGUUAGUGGUCAGUGUUUAAAGGUCGCAUGACACAUGUCAACAAGCGAGGGGUAUUGUUUGCACUGUGUUUCUGUGCACAAGACGGACAACAUAUUUUGCUCUCGCGACUCACGACAAAUAUUGGCUUAAUGGCCUGUCGGAUUACAAAAUAACGCGGUGGGAACUUUGGUAUGACUGGUUGAACGAAACAAUAGCUUUCUAUUAGUUGAAGAAGAGGUUUUGAAAAGUCCAUUUUCUUUGUAUUUGUCUAUAGUUAUAUGUAAUGAGUUUUAAUUCUUAAUAAAGGAAACAAUUGACGUA